This 20-nucleotide microRNA is filed under the name Ciona intestinalis (vase tunicate). Its description in RNAcentral is "cin-miR-4078-5p". The record is from miRBase by way of RNAcentral. Lineage: Eukaryota; Metazoa; Chordata; Ascidiacea; Phlebobranchia; Cionidae.
CCUUGUAGGAGUAAAGGGAA